RNAcentral lists this ribosomal RNA (494 nucleotides) under uncultured bacterium. Its description in RNAcentral is "partial 16S ribosomal RNA". It matches the Rfam family "Bacterial small subunit ribosomal RNA", at positions 28 to 507 of the family's 1533-position model. The record is from RNAcentral.
GACGAACGCUGGCGGCGCGCUUAACACAUGCAAGUCGAACGGAAAGGCCUGCUUUCCCUUGUGGAUUGCGGGUACUCGAGUGGCGAACGGGUGAGUAACACGUGAGUGAUCUGCCCCCAACUUGGGUAUAAGCCUGGGAAACUGGGUCUAAUUCCCGAUAGGACUGCAGGGUGGUGCCUGUGGUGGAAAACGAUUUUCUAGUGGUUGGGGAUGAGCUCGCGGCCUAUCAGCUUGUUGGUGGGGUAAUGGCCUACCAAGGCGGCGACGGGUAGCCGGCCUGAGAGGGUGGACGGCCACAUUGGGACUGAGAUACGGCCCAGACUCCUACGGGAGGCAGCAGUGGGGAAUAUUGCACAAUGGGCGGAAGCCUGAUGCAGCGACGCCGCGUGGGGGAUGACGGCCUUCGGGUUGUAAACUCCUUUCGACCGCGAGGAAGCCACCUGGUUGGAAGGGUGGUGACGGUAGUGGUAGAAGAAGCACCGGCUAACCACGUG